GGGGGAUAUUGCACAAUGGGGGAAACCCUGAUGCAGCGACGCCGCGUGAGUGAAGAAGUACUUCGGUAUGUAAAGCUCUAUCAGCAGGGACGAAGAAUGACGGUACCUGACUAAGAAGCCCCGGCUAACUACGUGCCAGCAGCCGCGGUAAUACGUAGGGGGCAAGCGUUAUCCGGAUUUACUGGGUGUAAAGGGAGCGUAGACGGUGAUGUAAGUCAGAUGUGAAAGCCCGGGGCUCAACCCCGGGACUGCAUUUGAAACUAUGUUGCUAGAGUGCAGGAGAGGUAAGUGGAAUUCCUAGUGUAGCGGUGAAAUGCGUAGAUAUUAGGAGGAACACCAGUGGCGAAGGCGGCUUACUGGACUGUAACUGACGUUGAGGCUCGAAAGCGUGGGGAGCAAAC
RNAcentral lists this ribosomal RNA (401 nucleotides) under uncultured bacterium. Its description in RNAcentral is "bacterial SSU rRNA". It matches the Rfam family "Bacterial small subunit ribosomal RNA", at positions 356 to 773 of the family's 1533-position model. The record is from RNAcentral.